UUUUUCUUUUUUUUUCAGUUUGAUGAUAUUUAUGAAUACCAUUUUCUAUAAAAAAUACAAAUACUCCAGUGGCUUUAAAGUAUUUUUCUAAGGAUGAAAAAUUUUAAAUGUCUUCAAUUUAAAAAAAAAGUUUCACGUGGUCCUUUAAUAUGAUUUAAACAAAAUACCCUCUUGCCCCUCUGCCCAACAGAACAAUACUUGAUACUCUGAACUUUUGUUUUAAAUUAAAGUUUAGCUGAUUUACAGUGUUGUGUCAAUUUCUGCUGUACACAUUCUUUUUCUCAUAAUUCAUCAUGUUCUAUCCUCAGAAGAUACAUGCACCUCUAUGUUCACUGCAGCACUAGUCAUAAUAGCUAAGACAUGGAAAUAACCUAAAUGUCCAUCAACAGAUGAAAAGAUUAAGAAGAUGAGGUACAUAUAUACAAUGGAAUACUAUUCAGCCAUGAAAAGAACAAAAUAAUGCCAUUUUCAGCAACAUGGAUGCAACUAGAGAUUCACAUACUAAGUGAAGUCAGAAAGACAAAUACCAUAUGAUACCACUUACAGAUGAAAACUAAAAUAUGGUAGAAACAGAUUCACAGACACAGAGAGCAGACUUUUGCCAAGGGGGAGUGGAAAGGAAGUGGGAUGGUCAGGGAGUUUGGGGCAUCAUAUGUAUGAGUGACCUCAAAGCCAUUUUGGACAUUGAUGAAAUAAAAAUAUUAAAAGCUUAAUCGUAUGUGGUUUAAUAAUAAAUCUUUAAAUCAAGAUUAAAAGUACAUUUAAAAUAAAAUGAGAAAUACAGAAUUUCCAUCAUGGCCUACAAGAUGCUCCAUCAGUGGGCUUCCUUACCCUUGACCUCUCUGCGUGUCACAGCUUCCCCCCUGCCUCCCCGCCCCAUUCUUGCUGGGCUCCAGCUGCCUGCCUGCCAGACAUGCCUUGAAUACCCCUGCCUCAGGACUUUCAGGAGAUUUCUCUGCCUGACACACUCCCAAGAUCUGCGUGUGGCCACUCUUUCUCAGCCACUCAUUCUAGCUCCUUACUCAAUGGUCCUUCCUAUGUUAGCCCCUUCCCUUCUUCCAUCAUUCUUUACUUUCCUUAUAGCACCAACCACUCCCCCUGGCCUGGCUGUCUCUCUUGCUGUCUCUCUGAGCACAUCUCUUGGCCCCUCCCAUUCACUGAAGUAUCCCCAGUUCCUAGAAGAGGGCCUGGCAAUGGGCACUGAAAAAAAAUAUUUGUCCUAUCAAAGAAUGAAUGAAUAUUUAAAGGCAUAUACCCUCCCCCAAGUAAUAAAGAAGAAACCUUGUUCUUUCUCCCAGAAGACUAAUUUCAAACUUAGCUAUGGGGAGAGGCACUGGGAAAAAAGCUUAGGGUGGGGGACCUCUGAGAUGUCCAACCUUAUCUCCAUCACAGAGAUGUACUUUCCUGGGCUUUAUGAGUAGGUGUCCACUCUGUCUACAAUAAGAGUUCUGCGGCUAAAAUAAAAUGUGGAAAGCAAUGAUCAACAUAAGUAAUAAGCCUUCAAAAGACUCCUGUCUCAAGUUAGUACAGAAAAUUGGAAUCGAGUUGUUAUAAAAACAUAGUCCCAAUUACUAUAGGUUGCCUUGUAAUGAUGACAGUGGAAAGGUCCAAAUGCUACUGAAACCCAUUCAAAACAUCAUUUCCUCUGCAUUACCUAGGAGAUCAUUAACAUCACUUUGGAGCAUCACAUUUGCCUGUCUGAUAUGACCUUAAUUGGAACCAGGCAUAUCUCCCUACAUGAGGAGUGCUGGGCUAUUAGAUAUACACUACUGGAUAGAACGCUUGCAUUUUCAUGUCUUGAUCCUCCCAUACUGCCUGUGUUAGUGUUUCAUUUUUUUCCUUGCAGAAUGCCUUCAAAGAAAGGCUCUGAAGGAAAAAUGAAUACAGUUCAUUUAUUUUUAAACUCUGCCCAAUCAUCUCAGUCAAGCAAUAGAAAGGAAAAGAGGAAAGUGCUUGCUGUAAUAGAGCCAUAUUUUUUCUGCAGCUCCUCCAUUAAUUCUUAGGACCUCUAGCUGCCUUCCUUUCAGAAUGCAACCCCAUUCAAAUCUUACAUUAUCUUGCCUACUUUCAGCUGUUCAUUAUUGCAGAAGCCAGGCCAUAAUGGCAUUCUGCCAACAUGAGUUUUAAGGUCACUUUUAUACGCCCUGACUAUAUACCUUGGAAACCAUUUGUGAAUCAGAAAUCAGACCUGAAUCAAUGGGUCAGCUCAAAGGUUAUUUAUAUUUGGCAUCCUUUGUAUAGCACUGAAUAUUAGGACCACAGGUUUUUCAGGCGAGACUCCUGAAAACUUGGUCCACCAACGCUGCUGCUCAAAUAACGGUUUCAUACGAUAAGAAUACUCCUUCCUGAAGCAGAGGCAGCAGUGGAAACCGCCAAUCUGUGAGUCCCUAAGAAGAAGGCUCUUUUCUCUCUCAAUCAAUAAUGAUGGCAAAUCUAUUCUCUAAAACUUUACAUGUAAAUGAUAAAUGAUUAGGGUAAUGUGUUGAUAUUAAUAUGAACAGUCUUCUCUUUCCUGCAAGUACUAUUAACAUCAGUGAAUUGAAUUAAUGUGCCAUUUGACAGUUUUGAACAAAGAAGUGGUGAAAGGGAUUGCUAAAGGCUCCAGAGAAAUAAUGAAAAGAAACUUUGACCACGAAACGAAUUAUUCUACAAACGGACCAGAAUAGAAACACCCAUUAGAAUUAGGGCCAGUUUUAUUUAGGAGAUCCGUUAACCAUCUGGAAAACAUGAUAAACAGCAUGUUGAUGAAAUAAACAGGCUGUUCCCAAUGGGCUGGCUAUCUAGAAACUGGAGAGAGAAAUCUAAAAUAUGGAGGAUGUUUAGAAAUAUGAAUGGAGAAUAAUGAAACACCAAUGCCCAAGCACAACUGGCUUGUUUGUCAUUUAUACUCCCAUGUAUUGGCAGGAAGAAAAGUAGCAGCAGGUGUGCUCACAAGUGUUCAUUGUAGAAAAUGAAUACAAACACCUCUGGCUUCUAUGCCUUUUGAAAAUGAAGACGAAUUCAGUUUAUAAGAAUUUCUUUCUUCUCACAUUGCCUCUCUUAUCUAAAUCAUAUGGAGAUACAUAAUCUAGGUCAAUAGACCCAAAUUUGAAUAUUUUAAUUACCUUGACUACUUGUUAGAAGAGGUAUAUAUAUUCCGAGCCAUAUUUCGGAUGUGGAGGCCAGCAAUUAUGUGUCAUUAAAAAGCACCUCCGUUAACCCAGGCUGGCAUCAGUUUUAAGCCUCUUGGACAAGUCAUUUUAGGAGAUUCGUUAAAUUGCCACUAGGGGGAGUGUUGGCCAAGCUUUGUGCUUUUGGUAAAGGGAGGGUGCUGACUGCCUCCAGAAGCUUAGCUAUAACAGAAAGAAAGGAUAAAGAGACAAAGGGAGGGAAGUGUUCCCUGGUGAGUAGGAGGUAGUUUUAGUAGGGAUUUAAAUAUCUGUCAAGGAACAGCUGAUUUCUUCGGGAUUAAUGAUAAAAGGCCCAUGAUGGAAGCACAGGGAUACCAAAAACCUUAGUUUUUGGAAAAAGCAUGUCCUCCUAGCUAGUACCUCCUCCCUCCAUCUCUCAUUCAUUCCCGCUCAGGGGAAUGGAAAGUAAACACAUUACCCAGUGAACAUUAGAGUCUAUGGCAUCCUCAGUCUUAACAUGUCAUGCACACAUGGUUUCUAUAUGUGCUUCUCUUGUUAAAUAUUUUUCAAUUGUUUUAUAUUAAAAAUUCUCCUGUUACUGCAGUAAUUUUAUUGCCUAAUUACAAAAAAUUGCAAACUUAUUGAGGAAUAUUUGGAAGAUACACAAACUGACAAGGAAGUAGAUAAAGAUCACUUGUCAUACCUUCACUCAAAUAAUAAAUGUUAACCUUGUGAUGCUGUCUUCCAGAAUUAUUUCAGUUCAUAAUUACAUGUUUUUUCUUGAUGAAAUCAUUCCAUUUUUGUGUCCCGCCCCCGCCGCAAACAUUAAAAUCAACAGCACACUACUGUGACGGUGGUCUUCCUAAACGCUGUCUCCCUCAAGGAUUAUCUUUCUAAAUUUGUUUUCCUUAUGAUAAACACUAUUUAAUUUUGGAAUAAGAGAGUUCAAGGAUCAUAGAAAGUUGUAAGUUCUUCAUAUUGCCAUUUUCAGGAAGAUUGUACAAGUAUAUAUUUCAACCAACAAAGUAAGAGAAUUUGCUUUGCUAGCAAUUUAUAUAUUUUGUUUCAAAUAUAUCAUCUUCACAGGAGGCCUAUAAUUAUUUUGUCUGUGUGUCUGUGUGUGCCACACCAAAUGAGCUUUAUCCAGGAUGACAGCGUAUUGCCAUACAUCAAAUUCAUUAAUAAUAUUUUAGUCACCUAAUGCCUAUUUUCGUCUCAUAUUAUAAAAUUGUUUCUUCAUGUUUUCUCUGUAUUUUCUUUGGUAAAAUUGUCCAGGGUUAUUACUUAUUUAAAAGAAGUUGUUCUUGAAUUCACUGUUAUUUCUAUUAUUUCUCUUCUUCUAGUUUAUUGUUUAUUAUAUCUUUCCCCUUGCCCCUUCUUUGUUCUUCUGUUGUUAUUGUCUAACUUCAUUUAAAUCCUUAAUUUUUAAUCUUUCCAUAAAAAUGAAGAUUUUUAGAGCUAUAAAUAUACCAGUUGAGGACAGCUUUGGCUGUAUCUUUUCAGUUUUGUCGUGCUAUGCUCUCACUGUCAUUACUUUCUAAAUAGCCUCUAAUAGUAGCUUUUACUUCUUUUUUGAUUCAGUGGUCACUUAGAAACUUGUUACUUUCAGGAUUUUAUUAAGGACCUUUGACCAGGUAAGUGACACAUUUUUUAAAAAAAAAACUGCAUGGAUACUUGAAAAUAAGGCAUACAUUCAGUGUAAGGCAUCAAUUCAAUAUGGACCUACUGGCUGACAUUUAAUUAUGUUUUAAAAUAAUUCUAUUUGUUCUCUUUGAAACAUAAUACAGUAAUAAUGCAAUGAUGUUUUAGCAUAGCUAUGUUUUUGUUCAUUAAGUUUUUCUUUUGAUGAUACUGACAUGCUGUGAAUAUUCAUGACAAUUUUAUUUUUAUUACUUGUUUGAACAUUUUUAUCUAUGAAAUGAUUCCUUGUUCCAUUUAAUACUUUUAGGCUUAAUUUCUUCUUUGAUGUCCAUAUUACUAUUUCUACUUUCUUUGUCUCUCACUUAUGUACCAUAUUUUUCCUUAAUUUUUCCUACCAUUUACUUAUGUAGUUAUUUUGUGAUUAGAAUAUGAUUGGAUAUUGGUUUUUUUUAUUUUUUUUAUUUUUGGCCA
This 5222-nucleotide long non-coding RNA is filed under the name Sus scrofa (pig). RNAcentral describes it as "lncRNA (ENSSSCG00035011778.1)". The record is from RNAcentral. Lineage: Eukaryota; Metazoa; Chordata; Mammalia; Artiodactyla; Suidae.